This 87-nucleotide transfer RNA is filed under the name Cyanidioschyzon merolae strain 10D. It matches the Rfam family "tRNA". From Rfam's summary of the family: Transfer RNA (tRNA) molecules are approximately 80 nucleotides in length. The record is from Rfam by way of RNAcentral. Lineage: Eukaryota; Rhodophyta; Bangiophyceae; Cyanidiales; Cyanidiaceae.
GGACUCAUAGUUCAGGGGUAGAAUGCUCGCUUCGGGAGUUACCGAAGAACGUGCGAGAGGUCCGGGGUUCAAGUCCCCGUGAGUCCC